UCCAAAGGAGGCGACGUAAUCAGGAAAAUUGGACCCUAUGAGGACUCCAAGGAUUUGCUCAGAGAGAAGACUGCAGUUGCUGAUGUUGUUUAUUCUGUAACGGUGACAUUCAGAGUAGAAAACACAGUAUGUAUAUAAAGCACUACCAGUGGCAAUGAUGGAGAAAAACUGUUUGAAAGCCCAUCCUUUUUUUCAUAAUGCUAAGAAAACAAAAUGGAGACUUCAGACUAAAGACAUUUAAACAUGUGGCUAUGGAGAAACUGUAAAUUUACAAAAGAAGAAGCAACUUUCAAAGUCAAGGAGAAUUCAUUUAUGGAGUCAUCCGAGUUCCCAAGAAUACACCUAAACCAGGGCUGUCAAACUCAGAUCCUGGACGGCCACUGUGGCUGCAAGUUAGAGCUCUCAAUCUUAAAAGACAAGGCGAUUUAAAAUUAAGGCAAAAGAGGUCUGCUCUAUCAGUAGCAGGAAUUUAUUACUAAUUAAGAGUGAAAACCUGCAGCCACUGUCGCUGUCUAGGAUCUCAGUUGGACAUCUCGACAUGGACCACGACAUGGAAAAUAAAACCGUUCUCCAAGCAGAGGCAGCACUCACAUUACUU
This is a long non-coding RNA of Erpetoichthys calabaricus (reedfish), 598 nucleotides long. RefSeq lists it as uncharacterized. The record is from RefSeq and is a predicted model, not a curated record. NCBI's taxonomy places the organism in Eukaryota, Metazoa, Chordata, Cladistia, Polypteriformes, Polypteridae. The transcript is spliced from 3 exons.